RNAcentral lists this ribosomal RNA (468 nucleotides) under uncultured bacterium. RNAcentral describes it as "partial 16S ribosomal RNA". It matches the Rfam family "Bacterial small subunit ribosomal RNA", at positions 28 to 507 of the family's 1533-position model. The record is from RNAcentral.
GACGAACGCUGGCGGCGUGCUUAACACAUGCAAGUCGAACGGAAAGGCCCUGCUUUUGUGGGGUGCUCGAGUGGCGAACGGGUGAGUAACACGUGAGUAACCUGCCCUUGACUUUGGGAUAACUUCAGGAAACUGGGGCUAAUACCGGAUAGGAGCUCCUGCUGCAUGGUGGGGGUUGGAAAGUUUCGGCGGUUGGGGUUGGACUCGCGGCUUAUCAGCUUGUUGGUGGGGUAGUGGCUUACCAAGGCUUUGACGGGUAGCCGGCCUGAGAGGGUGACCGGCCACAUUGGGACUGAGAUACGGCCCAGACUCCUACGGGAGGCAGCAGUGGGGAAUAUUGCACAAUGGGCGGAAGCCUGAUGCAGCAACGCCGCGUGCGGGAUGACGGCCUUCGGGGUGUAAACCGCUUUCGCCUGUGACGAAGCGUGAGUGACGGUAAUGGGUAAAGAAGCACCGGCUAACUACGUG